RNAcentral lists this long non-coding RNA (1231 nucleotides) under Capra hircus (goat). Its description in RNAcentral is "lncRNA (ENSCHIG00010024739.1)". The record is from RNAcentral. Lineage: Eukaryota; Metazoa; Chordata; Mammalia; Artiodactyla; Bovidae.
CUCAGUCCCCCACCUGCCUUGUGGCCCAAAGCCUCACCCGCCCUCCACUGCCCACCAAGUCUCCCGUAGGCUCUCGGGGGGCCCUGACUGGAGAGCAGGGAGAGAGCCGGCUGCCCGGCCCACGGGGGGACUGACCUGGUGCAGGGUGGCCUCCGCGCUCGGGGCCCUCAUGCUGACCAGCGUGACCUGCACCACAGCCAGUGACUGCUGCGGGGAGGCUGCGGGGGAAGGGGGUGUGAGCAGGGCCUGGGGACACCCCCGUGCUCCCGGCAGAGGGGGGCCCACCCCUGGGACCCACCUCGGAGAUCAGACUGGGCACGUCUGUGGCUCACACGCCCCCCCUCCUCCCAGGCCUGGGGUCACAGAGCAGCGGUCUGUGACCUCGGACCCUUGCCUGCAGGUCACCUACGACCCCAAAGACUAUCACACGUGUUCCCCAUGCGAGGGGUCAGAGCCCCUUUAAGAAAUGAUGGUUUCUGUGGGNNNNNNNNNNNNNNNNNNNNNNNNNNNNNGGAGACCCCCCACCCCUACCUCCUCCUGCCAGUUCCCACUGCCCAUCCUUCCACACUGGCUGCUGAGGUUGUCCAAGCUCUGACAUCCAGGAAGACGCCACGUUACUAUUAUUGACAUUACUGUUCACGCUGGAUCACCAACCACACACUCGGACAACGCCUCGGGGAUGGAGGCCAGUCUGUCCUUUACCAGAGGACCAGACACUCAGAAGGUGAAGUGGACAGGGUGGCUUGACCCAAACCCGCUGUGUGACCCUGGUUGGCCCUAGGUGCCCUGGGUAGCACUGGGUGAUCCUGAAUGAUGCUGGGUGACCCUAGAUGACCUGAGUGACUCUGGGUGGCGCCAGGUGCCCCUGCCUAACCUUGGGUGACUCUAGGUGGACCUGGGUGGCCGGGCCCUUGCACCCAUCACGUCCACUCUCCAAGGUGCUACAGGCGCCCAGGGACUGGCAGAGCCUGUGUAACCUUCCUGGGGUGACCCCUUCAGGGCCCCCACUCCCAGACCUGCUGCGGAAGCAUCUGAGGACCAGGACCACGCUAAGCUGGGUGGUAGUACAAUGGCGGAGUUCCAUCGGCGGCCUCCCCUCACGUGGCUUCUGCUAACCCUGGGGGCAGCGAGAGAGAGCUGGCCGAGUGCCUUCCCGCGGUGGGGCCUGUAACGAGGGGUGCUGGCCGGGCUGGGGUCCCUAGGAGGGACCAGCUGCAGGAGGGCAGGGGCC